AUCCAGCUGAUGAGUCUCAAAUAGGACGAACCGCGCGUCUUGGAU
RNAcentral lists this non-coding RNA (45 nucleotides) under Schistosoma mattheei. The record is from RNAcentral. Lineage: Eukaryota; Metazoa; Platyhelminthes; Trematoda; Strigeidida; Schistosomatidae.